Long non-coding RNA from Oncorhynchus nerka (sockeye salmon), 2234 nucleotides. RefSeq lists it as uncharacterized. The transcript is spliced from 4 exons. The record is from RefSeq and is a predicted model, not a curated record. NCBI's taxonomy places the organism in Eukaryota, Metazoa, Chordata, Actinopteri, Salmoniformes, Salmonidae.
AGAAAAAAGAAAAGAAAGCUUUUUCUGCCUCAAUUGUAAUGAGAUAGUUUACAACUAGACAUUUUUACUUUAUGACAAUCCGCUGGUGUCGACCCUUUCUGCUAAAGAUAAUCCAUAAUCUCCCAGCAAAAUUGCAUUAUUGGACUUGGUUUCUGUGUAACUGGCAACGAAUGUGACUUCAGUUCUGUUCAAAUUCUGUGAAGAUCUGCAAUGAAUAUUGUUUACCCAGCAGGUGGAUAUGACGUCACGGACUCGGAACAUCAGAAAAUAACAACAUCCAAAUCCGCGAUUCCGUUUUCUUUUAUAGCGCAUUAAAUUGUAUUAACAUUAGAAGGAGCUCGCUCUCGUAUUUGAGACAGAAGGUGUUGUGAAACUCUAGAUUAUUCUCCCUGUAACGGCGCUCUCCGUGAAAGCAGCAGAGAUAUCUUCUCGUAGUUAAAGUUAGUCCCCCCAAGCGGAGUAAUAUUGUUAGUAUUUACAGUGUGAUUGUUGCAUGCUUUCUUGGUACACAAGAUCGCGUGUACAGUUCAUUAUCUCUAGCACAGAAUUGUCUACUGCGUCCACCUACCAUUGUCGAUUCCGUGUCAUCUGUGAACUGCUGAUGAUCCCGCCUCCAAAGAACCUAAGCUGAAUUCUCAUUGGAAGAAUGGAGCGCCAGUCUUUCCUACACGAGUGAACACGCCAAGAGACUCCAGUGGUGACCCCCUUUGGAGACAGAAAUCAAAUGCUGGUGUCUGGUGGAAUCUGAACACUAUGUGUGCAUGCAGGUACAGGGGAAAACAUCACAACAUGUCCUCUGGGAUGUGUGCUGAAUGGACACGUAAUAACACCCCCUUCCAAUAACUACAGCACAUAAAGGGAAAAAUAUACAAAGGUAAAUACCUCACCCACUGGUCCUGAAUGUCCAUCUAACAAGGACUACCAGAAACUACUUUUUAAAUAUACUGAACAGAAAUGUAAUCGCAACCUGUAAAGUAUUGGUCCCAUCUAAAAUGUGCAGUUUUGUCACAAUAGAAUACCACAGAUGUCUUUAAGCUUUGAGGGAGCAUGCAAUUGGCAUGCUGACUGCAGGAAUGUCCACCUGAGCUGUUGGCAGAUCAUUUUAUGUUAAUUUCUCUACCAUAAGCCGCUUCCAACGUUGCUUUAGAGAAUUUGGCAGUACGUUCAACCAGCCUCACAACCGCAGACCACAUGUAACCAUGCCAGCCCAGGACCUCCACACCUGGCUUCUUUACCUGCGGGAUCGUCUGAGACCAGCCACCUGGACAGCUGAUGAAACCUAGGAGUAUUUAUUUCUGUAAUAAAGAACAAAUUCUGAUUGGCUGGGUCUGGCUCCCCAGUGGGUGGGUCUAUGCACUCCCAGGCCCACCCAUGGCUGCACCCCUGCUCAGUCAUGUGAAAUCCAUAGAUUAGGGCCUAAUGAAUUUAUUUCAAUUGACAAUUUCCUUCUAACUCAGUAAAAUCUUUGAAAUUGUUGCAUGUUGCGUUUAUAUUUUUGUUCAGUAUAUAAUUAUAAACUGGGUGGUUCGAGCCCUGAAUGCUGAUUGACUGACAACCGUGGUAUAUCAGACUGUAUACCAUGGGUAGGACAAAAUGUUUAGUUUUACUUCUCUAAUUACGUUGGUAACCAGUUUAUAAUAAAGCACUUCUGGAGUUUGUGGUAUAUGGCCAAUAUACCAUGGCUAAGGGCUGUGUCCAGGCACUCUGCGUUGCGUUGUGGCUAAGAACAGCCCUUAGUCGUGGUAUAUUGGCCAUAUACCUCAUCCCCUCGGGCCUUAUUGCUUAAAUGAAAUGCACAGGUUUUUAAUUUACUAUGGAAAACACAGGGGCCACAUGUAUCAUUUGACAUUUAACAGCCCAGAGAGACAUCUCUAUUGAAAUGAAUGGAAGUGAAGUGUGGACUAGCCACCAUUUGGUGCUGUGUAGAACAAGUGGUGGCCAGAGAGCACAUAUUUAACUGUCCUUGUGGAAGUUCACAUCUGGUGUGUGGAGCUGGGCGACUCGACGGCAGGGCAGUCCCUCCCCCGACGCCACUCUCACAUUUCAUCAUCUGUUCUCCAGCACCGGGGAGCUCCGGCAUAAGUUGGCUGCUCUGGAUCCAUCUGUUGUUAUUAUUUUCCACUGAUAAUUGGCUUGAACAAUGGAAUGCCUGUGUCUCCCUGCCUUUGAAACCAUACACCCUGUUUAUUUUCCAGACGUCUCAUUUCUGCUCUCUCCUUCUUUCUUUCCCUCUA